CUAACGUGUAAACGUCUAUAAUAAUAAUAAUAAUAAUAAUACUGUAAUGGCCAACUGAGCUCUAUAGAAAAUGUCUAUGAUCUUGGAAAACAGAUUCGCAUACGAAACUUGUACACUUAUUUUUGAACUGCGGCCCAAGUCCUGUCUUGCCAAAUGGAGACGGUCUUUAUCGAUCGCGUUGUGCAGUCCCAUCAUUAAUUCUUCACGACGUCCGCUUGAUGGCUGUGGGUCUCGCACGUCAUGCCUCAUUGAAUUAAGCUGUCUGUGCACGCGAACUCUACUCUUUCCUCUUGCUGUGCUAUGUCUCAGUGUUUCGCACACAUGCCUGACUGUCAAUGUGACAAGGACUUCCGCUCUCUGAGCCAAUCCAAUCCCUAGCUUACAAUUUCUUUCAGAUUCAUGACGUAUCAUCUCGAAUUGCUUUCGUUUUCUACUCGGCAUUAAGAGAUUUGACUUAAUCAAAGUGAAUUAUAUAUAUUUAUAUAUAUAUAUUAAUAAUAAAAGCAUUAAAAAGGAUACAUUAUACCAACCUCUAAUUAUUCUGUUCCAUGUUACUAUUAUUAUUAUUAUUAUUCGCACGAAAUUCUUAUCUUUCGAAAUACAGAAACC
This 609-nucleotide long non-coding RNA is filed under the name Androctonus crassicauda. Lineage: Eukaryota; Metazoa; Arthropoda; Arachnida; Scorpiones; Buthidae. The record is from RNAcentral.